This 129-nucleotide microRNA precursor is filed under the name Nicotiana sylvestris (wood tobacco). Its description in RNAcentral is "MIR6152 microRNA precursor family". It matches the Rfam family "MIR6152 microRNA precursor family". The record is from Rfam by way of RNAcentral. Lineage: Eukaryota; Viridiplantae; Streptophyta; Magnoliopsida; Solanales; Solanaceae.
UAGACAAAUUAUUGUAUUCGACUGUAUUCACGAUAUGUAUUUGUGAAUACAGUAACGUAAAUAGCACAAUUCAUGGUCUAUUCAGUUAUUUUUUAACAAAAAGUGAAUCAAUUAACACAAUAGACUCCU